UCCGUUGGUGAACCAGCGGAGGGAUCAUUACUGAGUUUACGCUCUAUAACCCUUUGUGAACAUACCUAUAACUGUUGCUUCGGCGGGUAGGGUCUCCGCGACCCUCCCGGCCUCCCGCCCCCGGGCGGGUCGGCGCCCGCCGGAGGAUAACCAAACUCUGAUUUAACGACGUUUCUUCUGAGUGGUACAAGCAAAUAAUCAAAACUUUUAACAACGGAUCUCUUGGUUCUGGCAUCGAUGAAGAACGCAGCGAAAUGCGAUAAGUAAUGUGAAUUGCAGAAUUCAGUGAAUCAUCGAAUCUUUGAACGCACAUUGCGCCCGCCAGCAUUCUGGCGGGCAUGCCUGUUCGAGCGUCAUUUCAACCCUCAAGCUCUGCUUGGUGUUGGGGCCCUACAGCUGAUGUAGGCCCUCAAAGGUAGUGGCGGACCCUCCCGGAGCCUCCUUUGCGUAGUAACUUUACGUCUCGCACUGGGAUCCGGAGGGACUCUUGCCGUAAAACCCCCCAAUUUUCCAAAGGUUGACCUCGGAUCAGGUAGGAAUACCCGCUGAACUUA
RNAcentral lists this ribosomal RNA (554 nucleotides) under Colletotrichum nupharicola. RNAcentral's name for it is "eukaryotic LSU rRNA". The stretch from base 203 to 356 matches the Rfam family "5.8S ribosomal RNA". Lineage: Eukaryota; Fungi; Ascomycota; Sordariomycetes; Glomerellales; Glomerellaceae. The record is from RNAcentral.